UUCCGUAGGAGGACCUGCGGAGGGAUCAUUACCGAGUUUACAACUCCCAAACCCCUGUGACAUACCUAUACGUUGCCUCGGCGGAUCAGCCCGCGCCCCGUAAAAAGGGACGGCCCGCCCGAGGACCCCUAAACUCUGUUUUUAGUGGAACUUCUGAGUAAAACAAACAAAUAAAUCAAAACUUUCAACAACGGAUCUCUUGGUUCUGGCAUCGAUGAAGAACGCAGCAAAAUGCGAUAAGUAAUGUGAAUUGCAGAAUUCAGUGAAUCAUCGAAUCUUUGAACGCACAUUGCGCCCGCCAGUAUUCUGGCGGGCAUGCCUGUUCGAGCGUCAUUUCAACCCUCAAGCUCAGCUUGGUGUUGGGACUCGCGGUAACCCGCGUUCCCCAAAUCGAUUGGCGGUCACGUCGAGCUUCCAUAGCGUAGUAAUCAUACACCUCGUUACUGGUAAUCGUCGCGGCCACGCCGUAAAACCCCAACUUCUGAAUGUUGACCUCGGAUCAGGUAGGAAUAGCCGCUGAACUUAAGCAUAUCAAUAGUCGGAGGAAGAGGCCC
This 554-nucleotide ribosomal RNA is filed under the name Fusarium sp. P-DZ-3-1-2. RNAcentral describes it as "eukaryotic LSU rRNA". The stretch from base 180 to 333 matches the Rfam family "5.8S ribosomal RNA". The record is from RNAcentral. Lineage: Eukaryota; Fungi; Ascomycota; Sordariomycetes; Hypocreales; Nectriaceae.